RNAcentral lists this ribosomal RNA (467 nucleotides) under uncultured bacterium. RNAcentral's name for it is "partial 16S ribosomal RNA". It matches the Rfam family "Bacterial small subunit ribosomal RNA", at positions 28 to 507 of the family's 1533-position model. The record is from RNAcentral.
GACGAACGCUGGCGGCGUGCUUAACACAUGCAAGUCGAACGGAAAGGCCCUGCUUUUGUGGGGUGCUCGAGUGGCGAACGGGUGAGUAACACGUGAGUAACCUGCCCUUGAAUUUGGGAUAACUUCAGGAAAAUGGGGCUAAUACCGGAUAGGAGCUCCUGCUGCAUGGUGGGGGUUGGAAAGUUUCGGCGGUUGGGGUUGGUCUCGCGGCUUAUCAGCUGGUUGGUGGGGUAGUGGAUUAACAAGGCUUGCCGGGUAGCCGGCCUUGGAGGGGGACCGGCCACAUUGGGACUGCGAUACGGCCCAGUCUCCUACGGGAGGCAGCAGUGGGGAGUAUUGCACAAUGGGCGGAAGCCUGAUGCAGCAACGCCGCGUGCGGGAUGACGUCCUUCGGGUUGUAAACCGCUUUCGCCUGUGACGAAGCGUGAGUGACGGUAAUGGGUAAAGAAGCACCGGCUAACUACGUG